UAACCGGAUUUCCCUGUUUGUGAGGCCCAGCCUUCAAAGCCAGGGUCCCUUCUUGCUCAGCUGUAGGCUGAGCCGGGGGUGCGAGGGGGCCUGGAUGCUGGGAGUAGGCACAAGUGGGCUGUGACAGACGGGGACGGAGCUCAGAGCAGCCGCCUGAGCCACCUGGGUCCACACAGGCAGCCAGGGGCAGAGCCAGGACCCGACCUCAGGAGCUGCCUGGAGAUGCUGCUACUGCU
This is a long non-coding RNA of Myotis davidii, 236 nucleotides long. RefSeq lists it as uncharacterized. NCBI's taxonomy places the organism in Eukaryota, Metazoa, Chordata, Mammalia, Chiroptera, Vespertilionidae. The record is from RefSeq and is a predicted model, not a curated record. The transcript has 3 exons.